CGUGCCAAACUAAAAUAUCAAGAGCAUUCCGUGCUAGAGCUGGCUCAAUUCUUUGGUGGGUUUGCUUCAAACUUUCCAACUUCAUUUUUUUCAUUGUUUGACUUUCAAACUUGAAUUUUUUGAUCUUGAUUUCUUCUAAAUAAUAUUUUUAUAUUUUAAAUUUAUUUUUUUCAUAAUGAGCCAUCUUUGUUUCAGUGAAGGAGUCGGCU
This 209-nucleotide long non-coding RNA is filed under the name Elaeis guineensis (African oil palm). RNAcentral describes it as "long non-coding RNA (EGUI_LNC009028)". Lineage: Eukaryota; Viridiplantae; Streptophyta; Magnoliopsida; Arecales; Arecaceae. The record is from RNAcentral.